UAGGAAACUGGGCAGUCAGGUAGAGGAGUUGGACUUAAUGGGUUACUGGAAUAGGGGACGCAGUGGGCCAGUUGGAUCUCUCAUUAGCCACCAGCUGCAGCUACUCCCCAGCACAUUCCACCAAUGUUUUAUGAUGGGGAAAUGGUGUGUGUGAAAGAAAAGUCUCCUGUCCUGCUAACCUGAACCAGCUCCAGUCCCUGUGCCUUCAUCCUGUCUGUCUGGCCUCCAUCUUGGGUGCACACAAACAUUCAAAGCCUUAAAGCUGCAAUAUGUAACGUUUUGGGCAACCUGACCAAAUCUACAUAGACGUGUGUUAUAGAUCAGUCAUUCUCAUUUAAAUCAAGUCUAAGAAGCGGUAUACUGUAUCUGGUCUAUGUGUGCUAUUUCUAUGGUUCCCGUUCUUAAGUGUCGUUUUUGCAUAUUUUACUUUCGGUUUUGUACACCAGCUGUAAAAACAAUAUUUUGGGUUAUGGAAAAUAUAUUUCAUAGCGGUUGAAAUGGUACAAUGAUUCUCUACAUUAUACUUGCUUGUUUUGUCACAAACUGAAAUUAGGCAAACUAUUAGACUUUUAGAAACCAGGAAAUGGUGGGGUGAUAUCUGCAUAGUGCAUCUUUAAAAUGUUUUAAAUUGUUGAAUAAAAGUAUAGUGCCAUUUCAAUAUACAGUAGUCAGACCCAGGUGUUUUGAGUCCUCCUGCCUUUUAGAACUCUAUAUGAGUUAUCAGGAGCCCUCAGAGAGCUGUUCCUCUAAACUACAGCCCUCCUGCCUUUUAGAACUCUAUAUGAGUUAUCAGGAGCCCUCAGAGAGCUGUUCCUCUAAACUACAGCCCUCCUGCCUUUUAGAACUCUAUAUGAGUUAUCAGGAGCCCUCAGAGAGCUGUUCCUCUAAACUACAGUCCUCCUGCCACUC
This is a long non-coding RNA of Oncorhynchus tshawytscha (Chinook salmon), 909 nucleotides long. Lineage: Eukaryota; Metazoa; Chordata; Actinopteri; Salmoniformes; Salmonidae. The record is from Ensembl.